RNAcentral lists this ribosomal RNA (490 nucleotides) under uncultured bacterium. RNAcentral describes it as "partial 16S ribosomal RNA". It matches the Rfam family "Bacterial small subunit ribosomal RNA", at positions 28 to 507 of the family's 1533-position model. The record is from RNAcentral.
GAUGAACGCUAGCGAUAGGCUUAACACAUGCAAGCCGAGGGGCAGCAUGGUCUUAGCUUGCUAAGGCUGAUGGCGACCGGCGCACGGGUGCGUAACGCGUAUGCAACUUGCCUCACAGAGGGGGAUAACCCGUCGAAAGACGGACUAAUACCGCGUACACUCUAUGUUGGGCAUCCAAUGUAGAGGAAAUGAAAUUCGCUGUGAGAUAGGCAUGCGUCCCAUUAGCUAGUUGGUGAGGUAACGGCUCACCAAGGCGACGAUGGGUAGGGGAACUGAGAGGUUGAACCCCCACACUGGUACUGAGACACGGACCAGACUCCUACGGGAGGCAGCAGUGAGGAAUAUUGGUCAAUGGGCGAGAGCCUGAACCAGCCAAGUCGCGUGAAGGAUGACUGUCUUAUGGAUUGUAAACUUCUUUUAUACGGGAAUAACAAGAGUCACGUGUGGCUCCCUGCAUGUACCGUAUGAAUAAGCAUCGGCUAACUCCGUG